CUCUUCCAGGUCCCGCCUGACCUGCUGGGUCUCAGCGGGUCGUGGGUCUCUUUUUCCCACGGAGUUGGGCGGGCGCAGCCUUGGCUACUUUGCAGUGGGUUCGGGCCAGGCCCAGCCUGCGGUGGCAACAGCGAGUCUCGGACCGACCGUGAGCCUGGGGAGUUUGUCUCCAACGACUGCGGGUGCAGUGGCCUGAGUUCUAAGCGCAGGUGAAAAAAAGCAUAAUCCUCACUGACAGGCCUUGCCAUCCCUUUCUUCCAGGAGAUGAGUAUACAUCAACAUUUUUAGAAGAAAACGUACAUUGUCACCCUGCUGGGAGAGGCCUUAGGAAGUACUGCUGACCAUCUACCCUGUCAUCAGAAUAAAAGUCCUGGAUUCACAUGAGAUACCAAGCUAGAUCCAUAUCCUCACCACCCCCCCCAGGACAAUUAGAAGGCCAUCCCUAUGUGUGACCUUAAAUUGAGCAUUUCAAGAGCUUACUCAGGCUCCAGAAGCAGGCGACACCACGAAGUAGACAGCUUUACCCAAGAUCUCUGAUCAAGAAUUUUGUCUCCAUUUCUCUUCCCUUGCAAACCUCUGCCUGACCUGCAGAAUUUUCUGACAUAGAAAUUUAAACAAAACCCUUCCUCUUUCAGUUACAGAAGGACUGACUGGAGGUUGCUUGUCUAAACCUGUCCUCCCUCUGUUCCCCCACUACAGGCUCCCUUUCAGACUAUGUCUUGGUUCAGCGAAUUCUUACUGCUUUUUCAACAGUUUUAGCAUGGCCACAACACCCAUUCACACCAAUCUUUCAGACCCUGGCCACCUUAACUAAUCAGUCUAAUGGCUGGUUAUGUCAGCAUCUAAGUAACACACCAGAACCUGAACUAGGUUUUGUCCCUGCCAGUGCAAGCACCUGGUGGACCCAUUCUGGACAGUGGAUGUAUGGAAGGUACUCUGCUUCCUCCUACGGCAGAGUGACUUGGCAUUGGGGAACCCCCAUGGAAGCUCGAGGUCCGUCCUUCACUCAGGGAGAAAGCUGUGGACCAUUUAAUGUGGGAUGAUCUGCUGUACUCUCCUGAUUUCCCGUGAGCAUUUAAUCUACGGUCUAAGGGUCGUUUGUCUGGUAUGAGUUGUAGCUGUCUUAUGAUUAUGGGCAGCAGCAGCGAGGGGGGCUGUAGGGAACAAGUGGAGGUAGCAUUUAUUGUAUUGCACGUGUCACUCCGUUGCUCCUGUCCUUACAUUAUUCCGUUUAAUUCUCACACAGUGUUCUUCCCGUUUUACAGAUGAAUAAAUUGGAAGGGUAGAUAACUUGCUAAAGAUUAUACCAUUACUGGGACUUCCUGGUGGUCCAGUGGUUAAGACUCCACACUCCCAAUGCAGGGGGCAUGGGUUCAAUCCCUGGUUGGGGAACUAAGAUCCCAUGUGCCAUGCAGCGCAGCCAAAAAAUAAAACAAAGACUAUAUCAUUACUGAAAAUAAGAGGAAGAUGCAGAGCUGGUAUCUAGUAUGCAACCUUUCAUAGAGCAGAGGAAAGAAGAAAAAAUACACAGUCAUUCCUUGGAGAUAUUGUGGGUUUGGUUCCAGACCACUGCAAUAAAGGGAGUCGCACACAUUUUUUUGGUUUCCCUGUGCAAAUAAAAGUUAUGUUUACACUAUACUGUAGUUUGUUAAGUAUGCCGUAGCAACAUGUCUAUAAAACAAUGCACAUCCCUUUAUUAAAAAUAGUUUCUUGUGGGCUUCCCUGGUGGCGCAGUGGUUGGGAGUCCGCCUGCCGAUGCAGGGGACACGGGUUCGUGCCCCGGUGCGGGAAGAUCCACAUGCCGCGGAGUGGCUGGGCCCGUGAGCCAUGGCC
Molecule: non-coding RNA, 1833 nt
Organism: Kogia breviceps (pygmy sperm whale)
Lineage: Eukaryota; Metazoa; Chordata; Mammalia; Artiodactyla; Physeteridae
Source: RefSeq, a predicted model, not a curated record